Molecule: non-coding RNA, 1867 nt
Organism: Macrostomum lignano
Lineage: Eukaryota; Metazoa; Platyhelminthes; Macrostomidae
Source: Rfam
UAUCUGGUUGAUCUGCAGUAGUCAAUGAUGCUUGUCUCAAAAUUAAGCCAUGCAUUCUAAGUACACAACUUAAUACGUGAAACCGCUGCGAAUGCUCAUUAAAUCAGCUAUGGUUCCUUAGAUCGUUCUCAUUCCUACUCGGAUAACUGUGGAAAAUCCUAGAGCUAAUACGUGGCUCUAACAAGCCCUGACCUCAUCAGGGAGGGCGCAUUUAUUAGAUCAAAAACCAAUCGGGGCUUGCCCGUCUGCUUGUGACCUUUGCCUGAUAAACUUUUGUGCUGAUCGCAAUGGCCUCUGCGCUGGCGACGUAAUCUUUCAAGUGUCUGCCCUAGUCAACUUACGAUGGUAGGUGUGAUAUGCCGCUACCAUGGUUAUAACGGUAACGGGAAUCAUCAUUGGGUUCGAUUCCGGGAGAGGAGCCUGAGAAGACGCUACCACAUCUAAGGAAGGCAGGCAGGCGCGCAAAUUACCCACUCCGGCACGGGGAGGUAGUGACGAAAAAUAACGAUACGGGACUCUUUGAGGGCCCCGUAAUUGGAAUGAGUACAUCUUUAAAUCCGUUAACAAGUAUGCUGUAUGGAGGGCAAGUCUGGUGCCAAGCAGCCGGCGGUAAAUUCCAGCUCCAAUAGCGUAUAUUAAUGCUUGCUGGCAAGUUAAAAAGCUCGUAGUUGAUCUGAGGACUCGCAAAUUGGUGGUGCAUCCAUACGGUGUUACUGGCCGAUUCGCCUACCUAGUCGGUGCUCGCUCUUGUGUUCUUAAUUGAAUGCCCUGAAGUGCCCGGCAAGUUUACUUUGAAAAAAUUAGAGUGCUCAAAAGCAGGCCAUUAAGCCGGAAUACUUCAGCAUGGAAUAAUGGAAUAGGACUUCGGCUUCUAUUUUGUGGUUUUCGGAACCCGAGUAAUGAUUAAGAUAGACAGACGGGGGCAUUCGUACUCGCGGUUGUAGAGGUGAAAUUCUUGAUCGCCGCAAGACGAACAACUGCGAAAAGCAUUUUGCCAAGAAUGUUUUCAUUAAUCAAUGAACGAAAGUCAGAGGUUCGAAGACGAUCAGAUACCGUUUUUUCCUAGUUCUGACCAUAAACGAAUGCCAACUGGCGAUCCGAGAUCGUUUCUUAUUGACCUCGUCGGAGCCUUCCGGGAAACGCCAAGAAGUUUCUUAGUUCCAGGGGAAAUAUAUGGUUUGCAAAGCUGGAACUUAAAAGGAAUGACGGAAGGCGCACCAACAAGAUGGAGCCUUCGGCUUAAUUUGACUCAACACGGGAAAACUCACCCGGCCCGGACACUGUUAGGAUUGACAGAUUGAGUAGCUCUUUCUUGAUUCGGUGGGUGGUGCAUGGCCUGUUCUUAGUUGGUGGAGCGAUUUGUCUGGUUAAUUCGCGAUUAAGAAAACGAGACUCUAGCCUGCUAAAUAGUACGCCGAUACCUUUUCGUCGGUGCUGACUUCUUAGAGGGACAAGCGUCUUGAAGACGCAGCGAGAUUGAGCAAUAACAGGUCUGAUGCCCUUAGAUGUUCGGGGCCGCACGCGCGCUACACUGAAGGGGACAGCGAGUUUUUCCUGGUUCGAAAGAACCGGUAAUCUGUUGAAUUCCCUUCACGUGACAGGGAUCGGGGCUUGCAAUUAUUCCCGUGAACGAGGGAAUUCCCCAGUAAGCGCAAGUCAUGCAGCUUGCGUUGAUUACGUCCCUGCCCUUUGUACCACACGCCCGUCGCUACUGACCGCGAUUGAAUGGUUUAGCAAGGUCCUCGGAUUGGUGCCGACUUGGUGGCAAACUAGGUCGGAUACUGAAAAGAAGAUCAAACUUGAUCAUUUAGAGGAAGUAAAAGUCGUAACAAGGUUUCCGUAGGUGAACCUGCGGAAUGGAUCAUUA